This 484-nucleotide ribosomal RNA is filed under the name uncultured bacterium. Its description in RNAcentral is "partial 16S ribosomal RNA". It matches the Rfam family "Bacterial small subunit ribosomal RNA", at positions 30 to 507 of the family's 1533-position model. The record is from RNAcentral.
AUUGAACGCUGGCGGCAGGCCUAACACAUGCAAGUCGAGCGGAUGAAGGGAGCUUGCUCCUGGAAUCAGCGGCGGACGGGUGAGUAAUGCCUAGGAAUCUGCCUGGUAGUGGGGGAUAACGUCCGGAAACGGGCGCUAAUACCGCAUACGUCCUGAGGGAGAAAGUGGGGGAUCUUCGGACCUCACGCUAUCAGAUGAGCCUAGGUCGGAUUAGCUAGUUGGUGGGGUAAAGGCCUACCAAGGCGACGAUCCGUAACUGGUCUGAGAGGAUGAUCAGUCACACUGGAACUGAGACACGGUCCAGACUCCUACGGGAGGCAGCAGUGGGGAAUAUUGGACGAUGGGCGAAAGCCUGAUCCAGCCAUGCCGCGUGUGUGAAGAAGGUCUUCGGAUUUUAAAGCACUUUAAGUUGGGAGGAAGGGCAGUAAGUUAAUACCUUGCUGUUUUGACGUUACCAACAGAAUAAGCACCGGCUAACUUCGUG